AUUGAACGCUGGCGGCAUGCCUUACACAUGCAAGUCGAACGGCAGCACGGGGGCAACCCUGGUGGCGAGUGGCGAACGGGUGAGUAAUGCAUCGGAACGUGCCCAGUAGUGGGGGAUAACUAGUCGAAAGAUUAGCUAAUACCGCAUACGACCUAUGGGUGAAAGCGGGGGAUUCGCAAGAACCUCGCGCUAUCGGAGCGGCCGAUGUCUGAUUAGCUAGUUGGCGGGGUAAAAGCCCACCAAGGCUUCGAUCAGUAGCUGGUCUGAGAGGACGACCAGCCACACUGGGACUGAGACACGGCCCAGACUCCUACGGGAGGCAACAGUGGGGAAUUUUGGACAAUGGGCGCAAGCCUGAUCCAGCCAUGCCGCGUGCGGGAAGAAGG
RNAcentral lists this ribosomal RNA (386 nucleotides) under uncultured bacterium. RNAcentral describes it as "bacterial SSU rRNA". It matches the Rfam family "Bacterial small subunit ribosomal RNA", at positions 29 to 414 of the family's 1533-position model. The record is from RNAcentral.